Molecule: long non-coding RNA, 1263 nt
Organism: Elaeis guineensis (African oil palm)
Lineage: Eukaryota; Viridiplantae; Streptophyta; Magnoliopsida; Arecales; Arecaceae
Source: RefSeq, a predicted model, not a curated record
CAGCACCACCUCGCCCGCGAAGUAGCAUUCUUCGGAUCCAAACCUAGCCUCUUUCCUUGGGCGACCCUAGUAUGGACUUUGGCGAGCCAGGUACGUCUAUAUAUAGUAUUUCGAAUUUUCCAUCCUCGCCUUCCGCCGAUCAACUCCGCCCAUGCCUUGGUCGGUAGCCGCUGUCCCGCCGUCAACGCCUUUCCUCUCUUGCUGCCGAUCAACAAGUCUGUUCUGCGAGAACCCUUGGUGUUGAGGUUCAAGAUUGAAACAUCAUGCGUGAGGGAUCCUAAAAAACAUGUAUUCGUCCGAGAAAAUUCUUGACAGUCAAAGGAACUGUUUCCCCAGAUUUUUCAUUCUGCUCCAUUUUGGGUCACAGCGAUGAUGAGGUCCAGAGGUUGAUCCCAGCUUGUCUUGAUUCGAUAAGUAAAUCAAGUUGCGGGCGUGGUAGUAAUACUUAGAGUUGGUGUCCCAGCACCUUUUGAUCAUGCACUGCAAUAAAUUUAAACACUGGCUACAAGCAGCAUAUUUGGCUUCUAGAACUAGGGGCAAACAUAUAGCUGAAUUGGUAAAAGAUCCCUUGUUUUGGGCGGCUGCUGCUGAAAAAUCACAAAUCCUCUACUUGGUGUCUUGCAUCAGAUCAAUCGAGGCGAUGAAGCUCCAAUAGGAUUUUUGUAUGAUGGCAUGGAUCAGGCUAAUGAAGAAAUAAGAAUAAAUCCAGUCAGGUGAUUUCUUUGUUGAUGCUGAGGUUACUAAUGAGCUAUUCUGAUGCAUUGCCCGUUUGAUUGAGGACCAACAUGAGCAAGAGCUGAUAGUUCGACAGCUUGAUACCUAUAGAGCGGGUUCCACAGGAUUUGCGGAGGAGAUGGCUGUUGAUCAAAGAGCACAAAAUCCACCAGUUUCAUAUUCCAAUGAUAUGCGCCUGGAUUACCUAGAAGUUUGCUUCUGCCAUCAGCACUAUUGAGAAUCCAUGGAUUAAAAUAUGGAAACAAAUACCCACAAUAUUUCUAUUUGCAGCAUCUCAAGUUGCUGAAGGUUCAGAGUCCGAUCCCAGCUCAGCUCCAUCGUGGAAGGUGACAUCUGGCAAUUAAUAUGUAAUGAAUUUGCCUUUUAGUAAAUCUGUAAAACCACAAAAGUGUUUUUUUUUUUCUUGCUAGGCUUGUGAAUACCAUCUACAUUGGUCAGUGAAUAUGAACUUGACUUGAUUUUGAUCCAAUACACUCCUGACAUGGUUCCAUUAAUUUGAACUAUCAAUCAAUGCAAUUUAAUUCUAAA